This 512-nucleotide ribosomal RNA is filed under the name uncultured bacterium. RNAcentral's name for it is "partial 16S ribosomal RNA". It matches the Rfam family "Bacterial small subunit ribosomal RNA", at positions 29 to 507 of the family's 1533-position model. The record is from RNAcentral.
ACGCACGCUGGCGGCGUGCUUAACCCCUGCAAGUCGAACGAAAAGAGGGAAAGAGCUUGCUCUUUCCGGAAUUGAGUGGCAAACGGGUGAGUAACACGUAAACAACCUGCCUUCAGGAUGGGGACAACAGACGGAAACGACUGCUAAUACCGAAUAAGUUCCAAGGGCCGCAUGGCCCAUGGAAGAAAAGGUGGCCUCUACCUGUAAGCUAUCGCCUGAAGAGGGGUUUGCGUCUGAUUAGCUGGUUGGAGGGGUAACGGCCCACCAAGGCGACGAUCAGUAGCCGGUCUGAGAGGAUGAACGGCCACACUGGAACUGAGACACGGUCCAGACUCCUACGGGAGGCAGCAGUGGGGAAUCUUCCGCAAUGGGCGAAAGCCUGACGGAGCAACGCCGCGUGAGUGAUGACGGCCUUCGGGUUGUAAAACUCUGUGAUCCGGGACGAAAAGGCAGAGUGCGAAGAACAAACUGCAUUGACGGUACCGGAAAAGCAAGCCACGGCUAACUACGUG